Molecule: transfer RNA, 68 nt
Filed under: human gut metagenome
Also listed under: 2 other names
Rfam family: tRNA
About the family: Transfer RNA (tRNA) molecules are approximately 80 nucleotides in length. Their secondary structure includes four short double-helical elements and three loops (D, anti-codon, and T loops). Further hydrogen bonds mediate the characteristic L-shaped molecular structure. tRNAs have two regions of fundamental functional importance: the anti-codon, which is responsible for specific mRNA codon recognition, and the 3' end, to which the tRNAs corresponding amino acid is attached (by aminoacyl-tRNA synthetases). tRNAs cope with the degeneracy of the genetic code in two manners: having more than one tRNA (with a specific anti-codon) for a particular amino acid; and 'wobble' base-pairing, i.e. permitting non-standard base-pairing at the 3rd anti-codon position.
Source: RNAcentral
CGCUGUAGCUCAGCUGGUAGAGCAACUGACUUGUAAUCAGUAGGUCGUCAGUUCAAAUCUGACUAGCG